Molecule: ribosomal RNA, 432 nt
Filed under: uncultured bacterium
Lineage: Bacteria
Description: partial 16S ribosomal RNA
Rfam family: Bacterial small subunit ribosomal RNA
Source: RNAcentral
AGCGAACGCUGGCGGCAGGCCUAACACAUGCAAGUCGAACGAACUCUUCGGAGUUAGUGGCGGACGGGUGAGUAACACGUGGGAACGUGCCUUUAGGUUCGGAAUAACUCAGGGAAACUUGUGCUAAUACCGAAUGUGCCCUUCGGGGGAAAGAUUUAUCGCCUUUAGAGCGGCCCGCGUCUGAUUAGCUAGUUGGUGAGGUAAAGGCUCACCAAGGCGACGAUCAGUAGCUGGUCUGAGAGGAUGAUCAGCCACAUUGGGACUGAGACACGGCCCAAACUCCGACGGGAGGCAGCAGUGGGGAAUCUUGCGCAAUGGGCGAAAGCCUGACGCAGCCAUGCCGCGUGAAUGAUGAAGGUCUUAGGAUUGUAAAAUUCUUUCACCGGGGACGAUAAUGACGGGACCCGGAGAAGAAGCCCCGGCUAACUUCGU